GCCUCUGUAGCUCAGCUGGUUAGAGCGCUGCACCGGAAUCGCAGGGCCGUAGGUUCGAUUCCUAUCAGAGGAC
Molecule: transfer RNA, 73 nt
Filed under: Paramuricea clavata
Lineage: Eukaryota; Metazoa; Cnidaria; Anthozoa; Malacalcyonacea; Plexauridae
Rfam family: tRNA
About the family: Transfer RNA (tRNA) molecules are approximately 80 nucleotides in length.
Source: Rfam by way of RNAcentral